GAUGAACGCUGGCGGCGUGCUUAACACAUGCAAGUCGAACGGAAAGGCUCCUGCUUGCAGGGGUACUCGAGUGGCGAACGGGUGAGUAACACGUGGGUGAUCUGCCCUGCACUUCGGGAUAAGCCUGGGAAACUGGGUCUAAUACCGGAUAGGACGAUGGUUUGGAUGCCAUUGUGGAAAGUUUUUUCGGUGUGGGAUGAGCUCGCGGCCUAUCAGCUUGUUGGUGGGGUAAUGGCCUACCAAGGCGUCGACGGGUAGCCGGCCUGAGAGGGUGUACGGCCACAUUGGGACUGAGAUACGGCCCAGACUCCUACGGGAGGCAACAGUGGGGAAUAUUGCACAAUGGGCGCAAGGCUGAUGCAGCGGCGCCGGGUGGGGGAUGACGGCCUUCGGGUUGGAAACUCCUUUCGCUAGGGACGAAGCGCAAGUGACGGUACCUGGAGAAGAAGCACCGGCUAACUACGUG
Molecule: ribosomal RNA, 466 nt
Filed under: uncultured bacterium
Lineage: Bacteria
Description: partial 16S ribosomal RNA
Rfam family: Bacterial small subunit ribosomal RNA
Source: RNAcentral